UUUAUACUUUGGCUAUUUUUUAUGUAACAAAAAUAUAAUGCUGUCUUUUGAGAAAAGAUUUUUGGUUUUCAUUUUCCCUUUGGAUUAAAACAUUGUGUUGCGAGAGCCAAAGUGCUGCGUGGGAGCUCUGUCGUCCUGAGCUGGGUGACUUGAGGCUCUGCAGUCUAGUGUGGUGAGAACUAGGGGACAUGAUUGUUUUGGUGCUCUUGGCUGUGUGUUUAUACUUUCUAAGGUCGGGAACGAGGAUCUACCAAAGAUUGAGAUAAAGUGAGCCGUUCCCACCACCCGGAAGGAAGCUCCCUCGCCACCAUCCCAAGCUCCUAGGGCAGAGAAGCUGAGCAAGUCCCAGAACCCAGAAGGAAGCUCCCCUGCCACCAUUCCAAGCUCCUAGGGCAGAGAAGGUGAUCCAGUCCCAGAACCCAGAAGGAAGCUCCCCUGCCACCAUCCCAAGCUCCUAGGGCAGAGAAGCUGAGCAAGUCCCAGAACCCAGAAGGAAGCUCCCCUGCCACCAUUCCAAGCUCCUAGGGCAGAGAAGGUGAUCCAGUCCCAGAACCCAGAAGGAAGCUCACCCGCCACCAUCCCAAGUCCCUAGGGCAGAGAAGCUGAGCCAGUCCCAAAACCCAGAAGGAAGUUCCCCUGCCACCAUCCCAAGAUCUUAGGGCAGAGAUGGUGAGCCGGUCCCAGAACCCAGAAGGGUGCCAGAAGAACCACCCCCACCAUAGAAAUGAGAAGACACAUAAACAAGCCUCAAAAACAGACUUUUGGAUCACCUACAGCAACCCCAAAGGGAAAUGAGAUAACAAUCUGAUACUCAACCACCUGGACUCUCUGAACUGGCAACAAAAGAGGAUCUGGGAAAAAUGAAAUCAGAAAUAAUUACUCAGAUAACAGCAAAGAUUUUGCUCAUGGUGCAAGACAUGAUUAAUAAAUCUAGAGAGGACAUAGAUAAAAAAAUAGAGGAUCUGAAGAACAUGAUGCACUCCCAACAUAGGAAACAAAUGGAAUCCAUAAAACAGAUGCAAACAGAUUUCCAGGAGAAUAAAAACUCCACUGAAAGUCUGCGCAGCAGAAUGAACCAAUGUGAGGAUUGAAUUUCAGAUAUAGAAGAAAAGAUUGCAAUUAGUGACCAGGAAAAGAAAAAUUGCUUUAAAAUUGUAAGGGAACACAAGAAAUCAAUCCAGCAGCUGCUAGACGAUGCAAAGAAGAGUAACAUAAGACUGAUCGGAGUCAAAGAAGAAAGAGGAGAGGGUGCAGAUGACAUCAAAAAACUAUUCACAGAAGUGAUGGCGGAAAACUUCCCAAGGAAGGGAAAAGAACUUGACAUACAGAUAAGUGAGGCAUAUAGGACUCUAAAUAGCCUUGAUCAAAAAAAAAAAACCCUACACGUAGGCAUAUAAUAGUUAGGAUUCCAGAAAUCCAACAGAAGAACAAAAUUCUACAAGCAGUGAGAGAAAAGAAACAAAUCACAUACAAAGGAAAGCCCAUCAGAAUCACAGCAGACUUCUCAAUGCAAACCCUCAAGGCAAGAAGAGCUUGGAGUGCUGUAUUUCAAGCCCUAAAGGAAAACAGCCUCCAUCCUAGAUUGAUGUACCCUGCAAAACUAUCUUUCAAAAUUGAUGAAGAAAUAAGAUACUUUCAUGAUAAAGAGCACCUCAGGAACUUCAUGAAUACCAAACCAGCACUCCAAAAAAUUUUAGACAAUACCCUAGGAAAAGAAAAUGAGGAUCACAACCCCAGGAAAUCCAGCAGAAUGAAUCCAUUGGGUGUGACAAAUUAAACGCAAAGGGGGAGAAUCCAACGAAAAGAAAGAGUCAUGACAAGGCUUUUAAAACUUUGAACUUCAUCUCCCUAAUGAGUGCAUAAUUCAAUCUUGUUUUUGUACUGAUUAGUAUUUUUCUGAUUCUAGAGUUGCACACCUUUCCUUGUGCUGUACUGGCUAUUUAUCAUCUUAUGUCUACUUUUUAAUUAGGUUGUCUAUUAAUGAGCUCUAAGAAUUCUAUAUAUAUUCUGGUCAUAGGUUAUAUGGAC
Molecule: long non-coding RNA, 2028 nt
Filed under: Heterocephalus glaber (naked mole-rat)
Lineage: Eukaryota; Metazoa; Chordata; Mammalia; Rodentia; Bathyergidae
Description: lncRNA (ENSHGLG00000039788.1)
Source: RNAcentral